RNAcentral lists this ribosomal RNA (311 nucleotides) under uncultured eukaryote. RNAcentral's name for it is "partial 18S ribosomal RNA". It matches the Rfam family "Eukaryotic small subunit ribosomal RNA", at positions 1470 to 1796 of the family's 1831-position model. The record is from RNAcentral.
CCCCUAGACGUUCUGGGCUGCACGCGCGCUACAAUAAUACGCACAGCGAGUAUCACCGAGCUCGAAAGGGCAAGGUAAACAAUAGAAAAGGUACUGUAAUGGUUAUAGAUCCUUGUAAUUAUUGAUCUUCAACGAGGAAUUCCUAGUAAGUAUGUGUCAUCAUCACGCACUGAUUACGUCCCUGCCCUUUGUACACACCGCCCGUCGCUCCUACCGAUUGAGUGAGCCGAUGAAACUGCCGGAUGUGGACUAUUCAUAGUCUGCAGAAGAUAUUUGAAUCGUGGCGCUUAGAGGAAGGAGAAGUCGUAACA